GGCGGCGUGCUUAACACAUGCAAGUCGAGCGGAAAGGCCCUUCGGGGUACUCGAGCGGCGAACGGGUGAGUAACACGUGAGUAACCUGCCCCUGACUCUGGGAUAAGCCCGGGAAACUGGGUCUAAUACCGGAUACGACACGCUUCCGCAUGGGAUGCGUGUGGAAAGUUUUUUCGGUUGGGGAUGGACUCGCGGCCUAUCAGCUUGUUGGUGGGGUAACGGCCUACCAAGGCGACGACGGGUAGCCGGCCUGAGAGGGCGACCGGCCACACUGGGACUGAGACACGGCCCAGACUCCUACGGGAGGCAGCAGUGGGGAAUAUUGCGCAAUGGGCGGAAGCCUGACGCAGCGACGCCGCGUGGGGGAUGACGGCCUUCGGGUUGUAAACCUCUUUCAGCAGGGACGAAGUUGACGUGUACCUGCAGAAGAAGCGCCGGCUAACUACGUGCCAGCAGCCGCGGUAAUACGUAGGGCGCAAGCGUUGUCCGGAAUUAUUGGGCGUAAAGAGCUCGUAGGUGGCUUGUCGCGUCGGAUGUGAAAGCUUGGGGCUUAACUCCAGGUCUGCAUUCGAUACGGGCUGGCUAGAGGUAGGCAGGGGAGAACGGAAUUCCUGGUGUAGCGGUGAAAUGCGCAGAUAUCAGGAGGAACACCGGUGGCGAAGGCGGUUCUCUGGGCCUUACCUGACGCUGAGGAGCGAAAGCGUGGGGAGCGAACAGGAUUAGAUACCCUGGUAGUCCACGCCGUAAACGUUGGGCGCUAGGUGUGGGGGACCUUCCACGGUUUCCGCGCCGUAGCUAACGCAUUAAGCGCCCCGCCUGGGGAGUACGGCCGC
This 833-nucleotide ribosomal RNA is filed under the name Streptosporangium sp. IM-6913. RNAcentral's name for it is "bacterial SSU rRNA". It matches the Rfam family "Bacterial small subunit ribosomal RNA", at positions 38 to 889 of the family's 1533-position model. Lineage: Bacteria; Bacillati; Actinomycetota; Actinomycetes; Streptosporangiales; Streptosporangiaceae. The record is from RNAcentral.